Molecule: long non-coding RNA, 415 nt
Organism: Brienomyrus brachyistius
Lineage: Eukaryota; Metazoa; Chordata; Actinopteri; Osteoglossiformes; Mormyridae
Exons: 3
Source: RefSeq, a predicted model, not a curated record
CAGGUGAUGGCAGGCAGGUGCUAGUGCUGCUUCUGAUGGCAGGAUGAACAGUGGUACAGCAGCAGGGCAGGCAGGAGAGACGUCACAGGGAGAAGGGUGAGCAGGCCGGGAAGGACGUCACAGGUAGUGGAGACGUCACAGGCAGAAGGGUGAGCAGGCCGGGAAGACGACACAGGUAGUGGAGACGUCACAGGCAGAAGGGCGAGCAGGCCGGGAAGGACGUCACAGGUAGUGGAGACGUCACAGGCAGAAGGGUGAGCAGGCCGGGAAGGACGUCACAGGUAGUGGAGACGUCACAGGCAGAAGGGCGAGCAGGCCGGGAAGGACGUCACAGGUAGUGGAGACGUCACAGGCAGAAGGGCGAGCAGGCCGGGAAGGACGUCACAGGUAGUGGAGACGUCACAGGCAGAAGGGC